CUGCUGGAGUUUCAUGGUUUCAUGUCUGUAAUUUUUUUUUUAAAUGAGUAUGCAGUGAAAUUUAAAAAAUUUAGAUUAAAUCAAAUUUAAUUUAAGAAUACAUAAGAUCAAAUCUUAAAAUCAUAAAUAAGAUGACAUAUGUGAGAUAGAAUUCAAAUAUAGAAAUCAAAUAGUGAAAAAUAAAUAUACUUCAUACCUUGGUAUGUGUUGGGUAUAAAAUAACCCCAGCCGAAGUUCGUAAGAGGCCGACCCUCCCAGGGCUCUUCCGACUUUCCCGACCUUGUGCGGCGUCCAUCUGAACUUCUCCGACUGUCCGAGCUUCCACAAUACCAUCCGGACUCUCCCAGCAGUCGACCUUCCACGGUGUCCUCCAGAUUCCUCC
RNAcentral lists this long non-coding RNA (382 nucleotides) under Elaeis guineensis (African oil palm). Its description in RNAcentral is "long non-coding RNA (EGUI_LNC065247)". The record is from RNAcentral. Lineage: Eukaryota; Viridiplantae; Streptophyta; Magnoliopsida; Arecales; Arecaceae.